GGGCUGUAGCUCAGUUGGUAGAGCGCCUGCUUUGCAAGCAGGAUGUCAGGAGUUCGAGUCUCCUCAGCUCCACCAA
This 76-nucleotide transfer RNA is filed under the name uncultured Pseudoalteromonas sp. RNAcentral's name for it is "tRNA-Ala". It matches the Rfam family "tRNA". From Rfam's summary of the family: Transfer RNA (tRNA) molecules are approximately 80 nucleotides in length. Their secondary structure includes four short double-helical elements and three loops (D, anti-codon, and T loops). Further hydrogen bonds mediate the characteristic L-shaped molecular structure. tRNAs have two regions of fundamental functional importance: the anti-codon, which is responsible for specific mRNA codon recognition, and the 3' end, to which the tRNAs corresponding amino acid is attached (by aminoacyl-tRNA synthetases). tRNAs cope with the degeneracy of the genetic code in two manners: having more than one tRNA (with a specific anti-codon) for a particular amino acid; and 'wobble' base-pairing, i.e. permitting non-standard base-pairing at the 3rd anti-codon position. Lineage: Bacteria; Pseudomonadati; Pseudomonadota; Gammaproteobacteria; Alteromonadales; Pseudoalteromonadaceae. The record is from RNAcentral.